This is a non-coding RNA of Podarcis lilfordi (Lilford's wall lizard), 862 nucleotides long. The record is from the annotation of a GenBank genome assembly. Lineage: Eukaryota; Metazoa; Chordata; Lepidosauria; Squamata; Lacertidae.
AAUCUUAAUGGUAGUUUGUUGAAACAAAACUUCAUAAUACAUGCUGGGAAGCUUACUCUGAUAAACCAUUGUUAAACGGAAUCUCAGUUGAUGCUUGGACAUAAGGAGAAGUGUCGGUGACUCUGAAACAAAAGGGAAAGCUGUGUGUGUUGUGUUGUGUUGUGGCUGUGUAGUAGGAAGAUGGAUGAGCUACAAUGAUAAAUUUUAGUUUUUUUUAUGACAGAAUUCAUCCAUAAUCAGUUAACUUGAUUGGGGAAAAGUUUAGCAACCCAGAGUAGGAAAGUGUAUUUAUCUUAUUGUUGAUGACUGAAUUUUGACUUCUAGAAGGACAUUUAUUCAAGGUAUCCCCAUUACAGUACAAAAGAGAUAAAUUUAAUCAAGGAUAUGCUGAGACACCCAGAGUUACUGUAUCUCACAGAAGCUGUGUAACACAACGUUCUGUGUCUGUUACACAAGACUUGAGAAUAAUUUACAACCUAGUACACAGUCUUUGUAUUCAGCUUUGUGCUUUUAGUAUUACUGUCCACAAUUAUUUUGCUAAUUUGGUGUUUAAUAUGCCAAUUGUCACAUGAACUUUACAAAGGCCACAAUUUGGAAAGUAUCUUAACCAUAUGCUUAACUUUAUUGUUCUAAUUCAAUUAGUGUAGUGCUUGUGAAUAACUUGUUGAAAAGUAAUUUCAGCACAUAGAAGUACAUUCAUGGAAUGAUCUAGUAAAGAAGCACUUAGUACCCAAAGCAAUAUACUGGCAAUAUGAGUUGUAAUGGUAUAUUGUGCAAACAAACUAGGCUCAGUCAGUGCAGAUUAAGGAUAUAAAAUUGGGGUUUGAAUGGAUGCCAAGAUUCACCUUGGAUCUGUAUAUAU